RNAcentral lists this ribosomal RNA (253 nucleotides) under uncultured bacterium. RNAcentral's name for it is "partial 16S ribosomal RNA". It matches the Rfam family "Bacterial small subunit ribosomal RNA", at positions 524 to 776 of the family's 1533-position model. The record is from RNAcentral.
UACGUAGGGUGCAAGCGUUAAUCGGAAUUACUGGGCGUAAAGGGCGCGUAGGCGGCAAUUCAAGUCAGCUGUGAAAUCUCCGGGCUUAACUCGGAACGGUCAGCUGAUACUGCUUUGCUAGAGUGCGGAAGGGGCAAUCGGAAUUCUCGGUGUAGCGGUGAAAUGCGCAGAUAUCGGGAAGAACACCCGUGGCUAAGGCGGCUCUCUAGUACGGUACUGACGCUGAGACGCGAAAGCGUGGGGAGCGAACAGG